GACCGCCCCUUCGGGGCUGAGGCCACACGGACAGCCGGGUCGAAUGCCGA
This 50-nucleotide small RNA is filed under the name bovine gut metagenome. Its description in RNAcentral is "Streptococcus sRNA SpF59 (ldcC RNA)". It matches the Rfam family "Streptococcus sRNA SpF59 (ldcC RNA)". The record is from RNAcentral.